UACGUAGGGCGCAAGCGUUGUCCGGAAUUAUUGGGCGUAAAGAGCUCGUAGGCGGUUUGUCGCGUCUGCUGUGAAAACCUAAGGCUCAACCUUGGGCUUGCAGUGGGUACGGGCAGACUAGAGUGCGGUAGGGGUGACUGGAAUUCCUGGUGUAGCGGUGGAAUGCGCAGAUAUCAGGAGGAACACCGAUGGCGAAGGCAGGUCACUGGGCCGCAACUGACGCUGAGG
RNAcentral lists this ribosomal RNA (228 nucleotides) under uncultured bacterium. Its description in RNAcentral is "partial 16S ribosomal RNA". It matches the Rfam family "Bacterial small subunit ribosomal RNA", at positions 524 to 751 of the family's 1533-position model. The record is from RNAcentral.